AAGUCGUAACAAGGUUUCCGUAGGUGAACCUGCGGAAGGAUCAUUAACGAGUUUUGAAAGGGUUGUAGCUGGCCUCCCGAGGCAUGUGCACGCCCGCUCAUCCGCUCUACACCUGUGCACUAUUGUAGGUCGGUUUAGCGGGGUCCUCCGGGGCUUCGCGGCCCUCCUAUGUAACACCACAAACCAUACAGUAUCAGAAUGUGAACGCGAUAAUACGCAUUUUAUACAACUUUCAGCAACGGAUCUCUUGGCUCUC
RNAcentral lists this unclassified non-coding RNA (256 nucleotides) under air metagenome. Its description in RNAcentral is "partial contains small subunit ribosomal RNA, internal transcribed spacer 1, and 5.8S ribosomal RNA". The stretch from base 1 to 46 matches the Rfam family "Eukaryotic small subunit ribosomal RNA", at positions 1786 to 1831 of the family's 1831-position model. The record is from RNAcentral.